CUGCCUACGGGGGGCAGCAGUGGGGGAUAUUGCACAAUGGGGGAAACCCUGAUGCAGCGACGCCGCGUGAGUGAAGAAGUAUUUCGGUAUGUAAAGCUCUAUCAGCAGGGAAGAAAAAAGACGGUACCUGACUAAGAAGCCCCGGCUAACUACGUGCCAGCAGCCGCGGUAAUACGUAGGGGGCAAGCGUUAUCCGGAUUUAUUGGGUUUAAAGGGAGCGUAGGCCGGCUUUUAAGUCAGCUGUGAAAGUCCGCGGCUCAACCGUG
Molecule: ribosomal RNA, 266 nt
Filed under: uncultured bacterium
Lineage: Bacteria
Description: partial 16S ribosomal RNA
Rfam family: Bacterial small subunit ribosomal RNA
Source: RNAcentral